Nothobranchius furzeri (turquoise killifish) is the source of this 1465-nucleotide non-coding RNA. Lineage: Eukaryota; Metazoa; Chordata; Actinopteri; Cyprinodontiformes; Nothobranchiidae. The record is from RefSeq and is a predicted model, not a curated record.
UGGCUUUAGAACGAUCUUAAACAGACUUAAUUUUAAGUUGAAGAAACCUGUAGGAACACUUUUAUAGCUUUGGGGAGAUAUGUUGUGUGGUCAUGAUUACUUUUUGGUGGAAAAUAUAUUUUACAGGGGGAAAUGUUAGUUUUUUAAGCUUUUUAUGUUUGUAUCUGAGUUCUACGCCUGAUGGGCUUUAUUAUUAUGGUUAGAGUGCUAAUCUGAUAUGUGUAAUUAUAUAAACGUUUUGCUCAGUCAAGUGUCAACAGAAUAACAUGAAUGUUUUCAUAGUGAAUGAAUGUUGUCAUUGUAUCACCAAGGUCUGAGGAAGACAGAGUGCAGGCUCGAAAAAGACGGAGAGAGGAAAGAGUAAAACAGGGCCUGGAAGUGGUCCCUCCUAAGAAGUCCUGCCAUACUGAAUUAGUCUGUGCAGCAUCAGGAGAAUUCUCUGCUUGAGGACACCUUUGAGGCAGCAAGGUGGUGUACCACAAGGUCCUUCAAAGGAAGCCUUUCCCUUCCCCAGGUCAUCACCAUGGACAGGGAAGCUUGCCGGAGGGCAGUGGAGAGGUUAUGCUUCUGUGAUGGCCUGGAUGAAGAGGAGAUGAACGAUUGCAGGGAACCGUUCCUGUUCAUGUUUAGUUUUCAGUCAGACUAUGAGGAGUUCUGCAGAGAAAUUGAGGAAAAAAGGAAGAUGAAGGUGUUUUCUGGCUUUGAAAUGCCAUAGUACAGCGGUGUCACAGUUUUUGCAUUCUUUUUCCUCCUCACAUUGUUUUUUUGGAGGUUCUCUUGUUUUUUGUGUGCUUUGUGGUUCAUUUGUUUGUACUUUUUUUUUAUUCCUGUGUUGGCUGUUUGCUCUAUUAAAUUUACCUUUUUUGAAAAAUUUUGUCUGCAUUCUUGGGUGUCUCACACAAUGUCUCACCACCCCGCCUCAAACCCUGGCAUGUUUUAAGAAGUAUCAGCACAAUUUAAGUCUCUGGUCCUCUUAAUGUAGCUGAUAUAACUGAGUGUACAACAAAUUUACCCGUGUCUGUACUGUUUUACACUCACUUGGGAAAUGACUAUUAAAAUAAAGGCGGCAUUGAUAAAAUCAACUAUUAAAAUGGUUUUGACAGGUUUAAAGAAUAGUCUAUCAAAUGCCUGAACCUUUUAUAUAGGUACCAAAAGUAUAGCUAAAAGACACAAAUACCUAUGUGCUAUAAAUACACAUACCAUACAAAAGUAGAAAAAAGAAUAAAAAUAUCAGAACAGAUUGGAUCAAAAAUGGCGCCUGUAAUUAUCUGCUCUUUAAAAUUAUCAUGACAUCCAGCAAACAAGUCAUUUGAUUACCAAUGUUAUGCUUUACAUGGGUUUUGUGGGUUUUUAGGGCUUUCUAAUCCUUAGAAAGGGGCUACUCGCGGUUUCCUGGUUCCAUUGAGAGAGGGGCAGGAGUCAAAUAGUUGUCUCCACCCACCUCUAAACGUUUAACCCCGCCCAC